This 339-nucleotide unclassified non-coding RNA is filed under the name Hevea brasiliensis (rubber tree). Lineage: Eukaryota; Viridiplantae; Streptophyta; Magnoliopsida; Malpighiales; Euphorbiaceae. The record is from RNAcentral.
ACAUAGGGAUAAGAGAGAUGCCAGUCCUCAUCCAAGGCAAUGCCCAAUUGCUGCCAUGAUGCUCCUUUAUCAGUACUUUUUGCAACUCCAAUAUCUCCUUGCAUGGUGAUUGAAUUCUUAGUUUCAUAAAACAGGUAAAGAGUAUCUCCCUGAACAUAAAGAAAAGGAUCAGCAACGAAAUUACUGGGGAAACCAGCAUCUGAGACUGAGGCACAGGUGACAACUGGGUUAGCCACUGGCCAGGCUGCACUCUCAUUUUUCCAAACAUCCAUAGUUUCAAUUGGCUUCAAAGAGAAGGGAGAGUCACCAUAGAAAAGACCAAUAGACCAUGAACCCUCA